UUUGUGGGCACGGUCCGCAUGGGAAGCGCUGCUUUGGGUUUCCCCGGAGCCGCAGGCUGUGCAGUGCUUGUUUCGCAGAAAGUUUGGGGUCCCUUUCCCCCAGGGCAGCAGAUUGGGGGUCACCCAGCGCGCUCGUUCGUGGGAAGAGACGAGCUCUGAAUUAGCUGCGCUGGGGUAAACCCAUCGCUGCUCCAACGCGUCUCGGUGUCUUCUUCCUCAGUCUAUCUCUGACUCCCUACCGAGACCAUGCCCGGGGCUCGGGUGGUGCUGGUGGGAUCCUGAGCUCCUCUCACUUCUCUACAGCUGGUGUGUCUCUAACAGCUCCUCUGUAGGGGAUGCUCAGACUUUCACCAUUGCGUUUUUGCCGGGUUUUGAAAGAAAGAACAACAGCAACAAGUAAAGUUGAGCCCUUCGUUCUCUGGUUUGCAAUAGAUAUGAAAGCUUGUUUGCUUAAAGGAAUAUUUGGUGGGGAGGGUAAUGGUAAAAGGAGUUCUCGUGUGUGGCCAUUUAAACUACAGGAAGUGGUGCUACUUCCUGUAAGCACUGGCUGCUCAAGUGUGGAAAGAAUGGAGAAGGAAAAAUGACUACGCAUUUUUUUCCCUCAUCUUGUGAAACAAUUUCACGGAAGAACAGGAUUUGGGUGGAGAGCCAAGAGCUGUCUCGGGUGCUUUAGGGCAGGAGUGGGUUUUGUAACAGGUGUGGAGUUUGGAGGAAAGCUUUCUUAAAGGUCACCUUUGGCUCUUGCCUUGCAUGAAGUCACAUUGUGUAGUUACUAUAAGAUGCUCAUGUAGCGUGACUAGAGAAAUACAAAGCCUGUGUAGGACUGUGGCUGCUGAACACAAGUUUGGCUAUAAAAAAGCACUUCUAAAAGUGUUGGUUAGCAUUUAGAUAUUGCAGAUUAAUCUUUAGACAUCUCCUCUGUCAGAGAGAGUUUCUGGAGGACAACCAGCAAGGUAUUUGCCUUACUCUUUUAUUCACCAUUGACUCACUUUGAGGAUCGUGUAUGCAAACUUUGGGAUCUGGGUAAGUUGGUCAGGAGGAAAACCUCAUGGUCAAAUGUCAGAUUUGAUGUCAGCUCCAGUGUGUCACUAAGCACUGAGGCAGGAAAUGGGAGACAGAGUUCUGCCUUCAUGUACUGUUUACAAAGCCCUGAAAAAGUUAGUUGGGGCUUUACAAGGUGGGGUGUGGGAUUUGGGUUUUAGUAGAGCUUUAGUAGGUGUGUUUUAAGCACAGUUUAAGCUUCUUGCUUAUUAGAAAUUUAAGGAAAUAUAAGGAGUCUCAGUGCUCAGAUCUUAACUCAGUAUUUGUCAGUAUAAUGAAUGCAUCAUUGGCAUCGUUAAACCAGGUAUGUGCUAGUUUUAAUUUGUUCUGUAGAUAAAUGAUUAAAGUAGGGCAGUGGUAUAUGACCUCAGCCUCUGUAGCACUUAUGAUAGUAGGACCCCUGGUUAUUUGGUAGUACCAAGAUAGUGUUUUGAGUUAUUAGUUAAGUUGCUCUUUAAGAAUUUAUUUUUGUUUUUGUUUUUUUUUUUUCCCCCACAACUGGGUUUUGGCUAGUGUUACAUGCCUCAAGUAUUUAGCAAAAUAAUAGCUAAUUAGUACUUGACGUUUAAAGACACCUGAUCUGUGUUUCAGAUUACUGCUGUCUCCGUUCCCUGGAACAUCAACAUUUGACUCUCUAUCCUGAAGAUCCUGGUUCCAGCUGCUUCCCACAUCUCCCAGAGAUGAUGAAAAAAGAACUCAUCAGUGGGUCAAGGAAAAAACCCAACUUGCUUCCUGAAGGCUGAGUUGGGAGAGGUGGUGCUCUGAUCACUGGGUGCUGGCUCUUCACCCCAGAGGGUUUGCCCUGCUGCCAACAACUGCAUGUUGCUGUUCCUUGUCUUCUGUGAAUGCUUGGAAUGGUGAGUAGGAAGGAGAGAAGCCAGCUCUGAGUCUUCAGGAGGUGCUUUAGAAGAAGGACUGGGAAGUUCUGUACUUGCCUGUGCUGAGCAAACUCUCCUGUCAGCAGGAGUUUCUCUAGGAAGGCUGAUGUCCCCCUGCCUAUUCUGCUCAUAUAAUGACUCAGUGUUCAUCCUUUUAGUUUUUCCCAUGUGACACUUUCCACAGACACUUGAUACUCUUCAGCAGGGUCUGACUGAUACCCUCCUUUAAUCUGCAGAAUGGGGACCCAGAUUUGGGAAAUUCUGAGACAAAGAACUUUUCCAUAAGAUUAAAGGCUUAAAAGUCAAGGCCGAAUGUGAUCCAGCCCAGUGCUCAAUGUUGUUUAGAAAGCAGCCCCAGGGAGGGGUGAAUACUGGAACAUGCUUCCAUGGCAUUGGUAAUACUGACCUGCUUUGUUGGUGGGUGGUGCUGGACCAUGCAGUGUUACCUGCCCUGGCCAGGCCAGCCCCAGCACCAGGGGCUGUGUGGCAACAAACCCUGCUGGGUGUGGGUGCUGGACAUCUGCCCCAUGAGUCAGGAAUUCCAUGUCCCAAAGGUCUCAGCUUCCCUCCUGUGAACUCAGCUAGCGUUUUCCUAGCAUCAGUUUUUGUGCACUUUGGGCUCUGGGUUGAUGCAAUAGUGAGUUCAGUGAUGCCUGAACUCUGCUGACCCCUGCAGACACCAGCAGAGAAAGUUCAGGAACUGAAAGCAGCCACCUGCCCUUGGUCAGCAAGAUCAGCUCAGCUGAGCCACAUAUGCUGAAACAUUUUAAAGCCAGGUUUGAUCUACAUUCCUGUAACAGAUUUUAAGAUCUUAGAGUGGCUUGAGACACUAGAACUGAUAUAAGUGGAGAGAGAUAACUUCAUAGAUGCCAAGAAAGCUGCUGAUGGUAUUUUGGCUGGAUCCAGCUUGCCAGGUUUUCUCGCUCCUGAAUCCUUCUCCUUUAGGCUAGUUCUGGAAACUGCAGGCAUAUACAAACUCCCUUUACUCCCUCCCUCUUGGAUGGCUUAAGAACUGUGUAGCUCCAGAGAGGGAGUAGCAGUGUAUUCCUCUGGUUUUUCCUCUGUAUUGCUUCUGCAUGCAACCCCGUAUCACCCUUCCCCUCAGCCCUUCAGCUAUACGGAUGAACAGUGAAAGUAGUACAAAUCCAUUGCAAAGACUAGGCAGCAAAUAAAACGGGGUAUUGCAAUUAAUAGGGUGCUUUCUGCCUAGCACAUGCUUCAAAUCUGAAGCAGGAGUAUUUUCUCUUGGUGUCCUGAGCAACUCCAGAGCCCAGGCUUUGCAACCCCUUUGCUUUACAACAGCAGAGACCCUCUGCCUGUCGAGAGGACUCCCCCAGCUGUUUCCUGCUGUUGCUAUAAAUCAGCUUGUGUCACUUUCCUCCCUCUUUUCAAGACUCUGAUAACAAGCACCUGGGGCAGCCAGGUGACCUUUGGCUGAGCUUCCUCUUUAAACUCCCGUGGCUUUUGCUUCAUUGCCUGCUUGUUACGCAGCAGUAAAGAUCUGUUCUGAUAGCAGCAGAGGCUGCUGCCAUUCCCUUUCUUUUCUUAUGCAGCAUCAAAGCUCUCUGAAUUUGCUUGAACAGAUUUGCAUUUAGGUCAGGACUCACUUGAGAAAAAGGUGGUUUUUUUUCCUCCUGUCUUUUUUUCAACUCUGUGAGGAAGGGUAAUAAGCACAAAGGCACGUGGGAAAAAGAGAUAUGGGCUCUAAAUAAACUGGUUUGGC
RNA transcript from Oenanthe melanoleuca, 3642 nucleotides. It is a transcript of the gene named heat shock transcription factor, Y-linked-like, with no coding region annotated. NCBI's taxonomy places the organism in Eukaryota, Metazoa, Chordata, Aves, Passeriformes, Muscicapidae. The record is from RefSeq and is a predicted model, not a curated record. The transcript is spliced from 4 exons.